UUCAUCAUAUUUCCAUAUUCAAAUUCCAUGUUACACUUCAUGUGUUAUCCAUAGUCCAAAAGAUACCUGAAAAUCAAGAGAAAAGCAAUGAAAGUGAGGGAUGAACAACAACAGUAGAUCAGCUAACUCAGCAAAACUAGCUUCUUUCAAAACAAAUUAAACACAGACGAGCCUAGUUCUUUGGAUCCUUUUUUAAAAUUCUGACUAUAAGGGAACUCAAAGAACAAAAUCAAGCAAGUUUCACACCAUUUUCAGUAUUUUCAAAGUCUGAAAGAGAAGGCUCAGCCGUUUCUAAAUUUCAAUCUUGCAAUCCUCCAAAAAUUCUCCCUUGGCAAUGAAGGAAACAUGCCUUUUAUAGAAAACCUUUAGGGCAGCAGAAAUAAUUUCUAUUUUUACCAAAUCAGUCAUUCCCCCAAUUUUCAUUCUUUCAUUUUAAGCCUUGAAUUUCUAAACCAACUACUGAACUAACCCAAACCCCACUUUCCUGGAAGUUUCCUAUUCAGUUUUUUUAAAGAUUCCCCUUGCCCAAUUUCCUAGACUACCCUUUAGACCCCUCCCAAUUACCUUUAAGCCCAGUUGGGCUCGAAAACUCUUUAAUCAAACUGAAAAUCUCAAAAACCCCGCAACCCCUUAGGCCUUGAUGCUGAAGGGCCUGUCUGUAUGCAAGGCAGGCCCCAAGCCAAACGGAGCCCAAAUCAAGACCAAACCUGGGUCAAAUUGACCCAACAAACAAACCAAAACCCUGAGCUUGCAAACCCGGACUGACCCUCCCCUCUUUGGGCCUUUAACUUACGAAACCCAAAGUUUUGAUUCCAAAACCCACAAAAGCCAAUCAAGAAACUGGGCCAACAGAGUAAUGAAAACUUUUGAAGCCAGGAAUCCAAAGAAAACAAAAUAGGAGGGAAAUUGAGCGAAGUCCAACAACAAAAUCAAAGAAACUAAAACAAUGCUGACUAAAAAUAACAUAAAAUCAGUAUGAAUGCAAAAACGAUUUGAAAAACAGAAAAAACAAGAAAGAAAAAGAAAAAAACAGAGGAAGAUGAGAAAUGAGAAUACAACGAAAGAUGAAAGAAAAAAAAGGGCCAAAAAAUACCUAGAAUAACGUGAUGGACAGUGGACUUGGACAGAUCUUCCAACGCCUUCGAUUUUGAGCCAGAAUUGGCAUUGAUCGUGUGUCCUUGUUGAAGACAGACGAGUAACACCAAUUUUAACCCUAAUCGUUCAAGGAAAAUUCGAAUUUUUGGAAAGAUUUUCUUUAUCUUCUGCUUUUUCUUUUAGAUCCGAAAUUGGUUAGAUUUGAGGAGAUGUGGUUAUGGAUUGGGAGUCAGGGGUGAGUGGGGGUUGUGUGGUCGAAGUUUGGGAUGGAUUGGGCUCCGCCGCCGGCCGUUGGAGGCUCAGGAAUUUGGAGGCGGUGGGCUAGGGUUUUUGAACUUGGGGGAGAUGAAGUGAAGAAGGUACAUAGGAUAAACUGAAGGGGUUUGGACACUUUAAUUGAAAUAGGG
This 1502-nucleotide long non-coding RNA is filed under the name Nicotiana tabacum (common tobacco). RNAcentral's name for it is "long non-coding RNA (NTAB_LNC017367)". The record is from RNAcentral. Lineage: Eukaryota; Viridiplantae; Streptophyta; Magnoliopsida; Solanales; Solanaceae.